RNAcentral lists this ribosomal RNA (670 nucleotides) under Methylobacterium oryzae. Its description in RNAcentral is "bacterial SSU rRNA". It matches the Rfam family "Bacterial small subunit ribosomal RNA", at positions 67 to 783 of the family's 1533-position model. The record is from RNAcentral. Lineage: Bacteria; Pseudomonadati; Pseudomonadota; Alphaproteobacteria; Hyphomicrobiales; Methylobacteriaceae.
CGGACCUUUCGGGGUCAGCGGCGGACGGGUGAGUAACGCGUGGGAACGUGCCUUCCGGUUCGGAAUAACCCUGGGAAACUAGGGCUAAUACCGGAUACGCCCUUAUGGGGAAAGGUUUACUGCCGGAAGAUCGGCCCGCGUCUGAUUAGCUAGUUGGUGGGGUAACGGCCUACCAAGGCGACGAUCAGUAGCUGGUCUGAGAGGAUGAUCAGCCACACUGGGACUGAGACACGGCCCAGACUCCUACGGGAGGCAGCAGUGGGGAAUAUUGGACAAUGGGCGCAAGCCUGAUCCAGCCAUGCCGCGUGAGUGAUGAAGGCCUUAGGGUUGUAAAGCUCUUUUAUCCGGGACGAUAAUGACGGUACCGGAGGAAUAAGCCCCGGCUAACUUCGUGCCAGCAGCCGCGGUAAUACGAAGGGGGCUAGCGUUGCUCGGAAUCACUGGGCGUAAAGGGCGCGUAGGCGGCGUUUUAAGUCGGGGGUGAAAGCCUGUGGCUCAACCACAGAAUGGCCUUCGAUACUGGGACGCUUGAGUAUGGUAGAGGUUGGUGGAACUGCGAGUGUAGAGGUGAAAUUCGUAGAUAUUCGCAAGAACACCGGUGGCGAAGGCGGCCAACUGGACCAUUACUGACGCUGAGGCGCGAAAGCGUGGGGAGCAAACAGGAUUAGAU